This 368-nucleotide ribosomal RNA is filed under the name Aeromonas sp. RCSR-NCCS-AM4. RNAcentral describes it as "bacterial SSU rRNA". It matches the Rfam family "Bacterial small subunit ribosomal RNA", at positions 155 to 518 of the family's 1533-position model. The record is from RNAcentral. Lineage: Bacteria; Pseudomonadati; Pseudomonadota; Gammaproteobacteria; Aeromonadales; Aeromonadaceae.
AACGACUGCUAAUACCGCAUACGCCCUACGGGGGAAAGCAGGGGACCUUCGGGCCUUGCGCGAUUGGAUAUGCCCAGGUGGGAUUAGCUAGUUGGUGAGGUAAUGGCUCACCAAGGCGACGAUCCCUAGCUGGUCUGAGAGGAUGAUCAGCCACACUGGAACUGAGACACGGUCCACACUCCUACGGGAGGCAGCAGUGGGGAAUAUUGCACAAUGGGGGAAACCCUGAUGCAGCCAUGCCGCGUGUGUGAAGAAGGCCUUCGGGUUGUAAAGCACUUUCAGCGAGGAGGAAAGGUCAUUAGCUAAUAUCUGCUGACUGUGACGUUACUCGCAGAAAAAGCACCGGCUAACUCCGUGCCAGCAGCCGC